This 225-nucleotide long non-coding RNA is filed under the name Lathyrus oleraceus (garden pea). RNAcentral describes it as "Pisum sativum (pea) long non-coding RNA (PSAT_LNC017271)". Lineage: Eukaryota; Viridiplantae; Streptophyta; Magnoliopsida; Fabales; Fabaceae. The record is from RNAcentral.
GAAAUGCUCCUUAUGUGAAAAACGCCUGGAACUUCUCAAGACAAAAUACCUCCACAUAAAGGUUAAUCUUCCUUUUUAGUUUUAAUCUCCUUUUCCAUUUUCCUAUUGAUAAGUUUUGGUUGUAAUGAAUAUUAGCCCUUUGGGCCUUUGAAGCGAAUUUAAGCCAUUUUGGCACCUUUUACCAUAUUGGCUUUCUUUAACUUGCAUGCAAUUACUCGUUUCUUA